RNAcentral lists this ribosomal RNA (468 nucleotides) under uncultured bacterium. RNAcentral describes it as "partial 16S ribosomal RNA". It matches the Rfam family "Bacterial small subunit ribosomal RNA", at positions 28 to 507 of the family's 1533-position model. The record is from RNAcentral.
GACGAACGCUGGCGGCGUGCUUAACACAUGCAAGUCGAACGGAAAGGCCCUGCUUUUGUGGGGUGCUCGAGUGGCGAACGGGUGAGUAACACGUGAGUAACCUGCCCUUGACUUUGGGAUAACUUCAGGAAACUGGGGCUAAUACCGGAUAGGAGCUCCUGCUGCAUGGUGGGGGUUGGAAAGUUUCGGCGGUUGGGGAUGGACUCGCGGCUUAUCAGCUUGUUGGUGGGGUAGUGGCUUACCAAGGCUUUGACGGGUGGCCGGCCUGAGAGGGUGACCGGCCACAAUGGGACUGAGAUACGGCCCAGACUCCUACGGGAGGCAGCAGUGGGGAAUAUUGCACAAUGGGCGGAAGCCUGAUGCAGCAACGCCGCGUGCGGGAUGACGGCCUUCGGGUUGUAAACCGCUUUCGCCUGUGACGAAGCGUGAGUGACGGUAAUGGGUAAAGAAGCACCGGCUAACUACGUG